This 460-nucleotide ribosomal RNA is filed under the name uncultured bacterium. RNAcentral describes it as "partial 16S ribosomal RNA". It matches the Rfam family "Bacterial small subunit ribosomal RNA", at positions 338 to 795 of the family's 1533-position model. The record is from RNAcentral.
CCUACGGGAGACUGCAGUGAGGAAUAUUGGUCAAUGGGCGCGAGCCUGAACCAGCCAAGUAGCGUGCAGGAUGACUGCCCUACGGGUUGUAAACUUCUUUUAUAAAGGAAUAAAGUGAGGCACGUGUGCCUUUUUGUCUGUACUUUUUGAAUAAGGAUCGGCUAACUCCGUGCCAGCAGCCGCGGUAAUACGGAGGAUCCGAGCGUUAUCCGGAUUUAUUGGGUUUAAAGGGAGCGUAGAUGGGUUGUUAAGUCAGUUGUGAAAGUUUGCGGCUCAACCGUAAAAUUGCAAUUGAUACUGGCAGUCUUGAGUGCAGGUGAGGUAGGCGGAAUUCGUGGUGUAGCGGUGAAAUGCUUAGAUAUCACGAAGAACUCCGAUGGCGAAGGCAGCUUACUAAACUGCCACUGACAUUGAUGCUCGAAAGUGUGGGUAGCAAACAGGAUUAGAUACCCUUGUAGUC